GGGGCUGAUUUAGCUUUCGACAAGAGGAAUUUAACAAACUAUCUUGCAAGUCGUUUACUCGUAAAGUAUAAACAAACGCAAAAGAAAAUUUUGUAGCAAAAGUAAAAAGUGUAUUCACACCAGCUUUUGCGCCCAUCGCAGCUUAAUUAGCUUGUAGCGAUCAUCAACCUAAGUUAGGCAACGUAUGCUUAGUUGGUGUUAUAUAUUCACGUUGCUAGUAUAAGUUUUUUUGGCAGGGCUUAUAUGAAUUUUUUGCCAAGACCGUGUGUCGUUUUCUGUCUUUCUUUUAUCGUCACACGGUAUCUAAGAAAGAAUAAGCUUGUAGAAGGAUAGUGGGUUACCUUUUGGACCCGGGGGCAGUUCCCGGCAGCUCCACCA
Molecule: transfer-messenger RNA, 378 nt
Filed under: Candidatus Saccharimonadota bacterium
Lineage: Bacteria; Candidatus Saccharimonadota
Also listed under: 2 other names
Rfam family: transfer-messenger RNA
About the family: Bacterial tmRNA, also known as 10Sa RNA or SsrA, is named for its dual tRNA and mRNA-like properties. Its role is to liberate the mRNA from a stalled ribosome. To accomplish this part of the tmRNA is used as a reading frame that ends in a translation stop signal.
Source: RNAcentral